RNAcentral lists this ribosomal RNA (273 nucleotides) under uncultured bacterium. RNAcentral's name for it is "partial 16S ribosomal RNA". It matches the Rfam family "Bacterial small subunit ribosomal RNA", at positions 524 to 796 of the family's 1533-position model. The record is from RNAcentral.
UACGUCGGGUGCAAUCUUGACUCGGAAUUACUGGGCGUAAAGCGUGCGCAGGCGGUUAUAUAAGACAGAUGUGAAAUCCCCGGGCUCAACCUGGGAACUGCAUUUGUGACUGUAUAGCUAGAGUACGGCAGAGGGGGAUGGAAUUCCGCGUGUAGCAGUGAAAUGCGUAGAUAUGCGGAGGAACACCGAUGGCGAAGGCAAUCCCAUGGGCCUGUAAUGACGCUCAUGCACGCAAGCGGGGGGCGCACACAGGCUGCGAUAACACUGUAGUCC